This 465-nucleotide ribosomal RNA is filed under the name uncultured bacterium. Its description in RNAcentral is "partial 16S ribosomal RNA". It matches the Rfam family "Bacterial small subunit ribosomal RNA", at positions 28 to 507 of the family's 1533-position model. The record is from RNAcentral.
GACGAACGCUGGCGGCGUGCUUAACACAUGCAAGUCGAACGGAAGGGCCCUGCUUGCAGGGUACUCGAGUGGCGAACGGGUGAGGAACACGUGGGUGAUCUGCCCUGCACUUCGGGAUAAGCCUGGGAAACUGGGUCUAAUACCGGAUAUGACCUUCCAUGUAGUGUGGGGGGUGGAAAGAUUUAUCGGUGUGGGAUGAGCCCGCGGCCUAUCAGCUUGUUGGUGGGGUAAUGGCCUACCAAGGCGUCGACGGGUAGCCGGCCUGAGAGGGUGGACGGCCACAUUGGGACUGAGAUACGGCCCAGACUCCUACGGGAGGCAGCAGUGGGGAAUAUUGCACAAUGGGCGGAAGCCUUAUGCAGCGACGCCGCGUGGGGGAUGACGGCCUUCGGGUUGUAAACCUCUUUCGACAGGGACGAAGCUUCGGUGACGGUACCUGUAUAAGAAGCACCGGCUAACUACGUG